This 497-nucleotide ribosomal RNA is filed under the name uncultured bacterium. Its description in RNAcentral is "partial 16S ribosomal RNA". It matches the Rfam family "Bacterial small subunit ribosomal RNA", at positions 28 to 507 of the family's 1533-position model. The record is from RNAcentral.
GAUGAACGCUGGCGGCGUGCCUAACACAUGCAAGUCGAGCGGACGGACGAUAAGCUUGUGUCUUUGAUGUUAGCGGCGGGCGGGCGAGUAACACGUGGAUCACCUACUUAUAUUUCGGGGAUAAUUACGGGAAACAGGGUCUAAUACUGGAGAAUAUUUUGAACCGCUUGGUGCAAAAGUGAUUGACAGCUUUCGCGUUUGUAAUAGCUGGUUCCGCGCUGCAUUAGCUAGUUGGUAAGGUAACGGCUUACCAAGGCAACGAUGCGUAGCCGAUCUGAGAGGAUGAUCGGCCACACUGGAACUGGGACACGGUCCAGACUCCUACGGGAGGCAGCAGUGGGGAAUCUUCGGCAAUGGGCGCAAGCCUGACGCAGCAACGCCGCGUGAGUGAUGAAGGUCUUCGGGUCGUAAAGCUCUGUUAUUGGGGAAGAACAGCUGUAGAAGUAAACGUGGACGUCUUGACGGUACCUAAUCAAAAAGCACCGGCUAACUACGUG